Molecule: ribosomal RNA, 396 nt
Filed under: uncultured bacterium
Lineage: Bacteria
Description: bacterial SSU rRNA
Rfam family: Bacterial small subunit ribosomal RNA
Source: RNAcentral
UAAGACAGAGGGGGCAAGCGUUGCUCGGAAUUACUGGGCGUAAAGGGCGUGUAGGCGGGAUGGCAAGUCGGUCGUGAAAGCCUUCGGCUCAACCGAAGAAGUGCGUCCGAUACUGCCAUUCUUGAGGGUUGGAGAGGAGACUGGAAUUCCCGGUGUAGCGGUGAAAUGUGUAGAGAUCGGGAGGAACACCGGUGGCGAAGGCGGGUCUCUGGCCAAUUCCUGACGCUGAGGCGCGAAAGCGUGGGGAGCAAACGGGAUUAGAUACCCCGGUAGUCCACGCUGUAAACGAUGACGACUAGGUGUGGGGGGGUCAGUCCCUUCCGUGCCGCAGCUAACGCAUUAAGUCGUCCGCCUGGGGAGUACGGCCGCAAGGUUGAAACUUAAAUGAAUUGACGG